GUCAGCAAAUACCGCUGCCAACAGGAUUUUCUGCCAGUCAGUGCUCAUGGAGUGUGAGCAAUGCAGAAAACCCUCAAGGCUGGAAGCCGAAUUACUUUGCGGGAUCA
This 107-nucleotide ribosomal RNA is filed under the name Escherichia coli TW11039. RNAcentral's name for it is "partial 23S ribosomal RNA". Lineage: Bacteria; Pseudomonadati; Pseudomonadota; Gammaproteobacteria; Enterobacterales; Enterobacteriaceae. The record is from RNAcentral.